GGGGCUGACCUGGCUUCGACGUGGGUUGCAAAGCAGAUCAGGGCAUACCGAGGACCAGUUACCUCGUAAAUCCACUGGAAAAAAUACAAACGCCAACGACGAGCGUUUCGCUCUGGCCGCCUAAGGCCUAAGCCGCUGCACUGACAGGUCUCCUGGGUCAGAUGGGGUCAAACCCAUUGCAGCGUCAUUUACAGGGACUAGCAAUGGAUCGGGUUACUUGGUCCGGCGCGAAACUCAAGGUAACUCGCCCGUGGUCGGCUUGCCGACUGGCUAAACCCCGGGUUAAACCCAAAUAGGUCGGAUAAGUAUGUAGAACUGACUGUAGAGGACUUGCGGACGGGGGUUCGAUUCCCCCCAGCUCCACCA
Molecule: transfer-messenger RNA, 366 nt
Filed under: Zoogloea sp.
Lineage: Bacteria; Pseudomonadati; Pseudomonadota; Betaproteobacteria; Rhodocyclales; Zoogloeaceae
Also listed under: 1 other name
Rfam family: transfer-messenger RNA
About the family: Bacterial tmRNA, also known as 10Sa RNA or SsrA, is named for its dual tRNA and mRNA-like properties. Its role is to liberate the mRNA from a stalled ribosome.
Source: RNAcentral